GGCCGGUUGUGUAACAAGUCAUUUUCUUCGACUCUCUCUCCGCCUCCCUCCUUCCCUCCCCACUACCCUCUUCAUCUUCUUCUACUCCUUCGCCAUCCUCUCCACCACCAGCCCAGGAGCCACCACCCACCGUGCCAAGCACCGCCAUCCUCUUCCCUGAAAAAAUUCGCCUUGUUUCACUUUAGCUGCCAUGAGAUCGUCAUCGUUGCCGUUCUCAGCUGCGUCCAUAGUUGUGAUUUGUCAAGUUCUAUUUUCCCUGUUCUUUGAUCAAAAGCUUUGAAGAGCUGGAAUCGCGGUUGCAGAUCGUUCAAUAGAUUUCGAUCCUAAUUGCCAUUCACGUUGCUGGUCGUUGUUUGUUGCUGUCCGUCGCCGUUCAUUGCUCUUAUCAAGGGAAGUGAUCGAGAAUUUGAACGCGCAUCCGGUUGCCAGAUCGAGCGAAAGAACUGCAGACGAAAGCAUGGCGGUAGAGAAGGUAACAGAAUUGGAGGAGAGAGAUCCGACGUCCGUAGAGCCCGAACAGAGAAAACCAUGGGAAAGGCAAGGACAGGAGGAGGGUCAUGUGCCAGAUGAAAUAUAAAGCUUUUGGAUUGUUGGUUUUCCGCUUCCGCCUUUGCUACGCAAGCCUGACCACUUGAAGGCGGGACUCGAACCCACCAAUCUGACAGCAGUUUUAGUUCAACGUUCGGAAAAAUUGAAGUUUCAUUCUCUUAGAAUUGUCCACGCCUUUGUCUGAAACCAUCGUUUGAUGAAAUGCAGGAUGCACUCUCUGCUCGCGGCGCCAAUAUAGGAGAUUUGCAACAUCAGCAAAUCAAUGCGUCGAUGAGCUUGUGAAGAUAGGACUUGAUGGAACGCAACAGGCCGGCGUUUAUGUUCAUGUCCCGGAUGAUCUAGCCAGGAUUUUGGAACUCAUUAUGAAUGGGUUCUGGACAACUGUGUUUUCUGCAAAAGCUUGAGUUCGCCUCUGAAAAAUCAAGCAAAAAAUCUUCUAAUGAAGAGCAAUUUCAUUUUA
Molecule: long non-coding RNA, 1009 nt
Organism: Eucalyptus grandis
Lineage: Eukaryota; Viridiplantae; Streptophyta; Magnoliopsida; Myrtales; Myrtaceae
Exons: 2
Source: RefSeq, a predicted model, not a curated record